RNAcentral lists this transfer RNA (70 nucleotides) under Darevskia praticola. Its description in RNAcentral is "tRNA-Tyr". It matches the Rfam family "tRNA". From Rfam's summary of the family: Transfer RNA (tRNA) molecules are approximately 80 nucleotides in length. Their secondary structure includes four short double-helical elements and three loops (D, anti-codon, and T loops). Lineage: Eukaryota; Metazoa; Chordata; Lepidosauria; Squamata; Lacertidae. The record is from RNAcentral.
GGUAGGGUGGCCGAAUGAUUAGGUGGGGGGCUGUAAAUCCCCGUAUGGAGGUUUACCCCUCCCCCUAUCA